CCUACGGGAGGCAGCAGUGGGGAAUCUUGCGCAAUGGGCGAAAGCCUGACGCAGCCAUGCCGCGUGGAUGAUGAAGGUCUUAGGAUUGUAAAAUCCUUUCACCGGUGAAGAUAAUGACUGUAGCCGGAGAAGAAGCCCCGGCUAACUUCGUGCCAGCAGCCGCGGUAAUACGAAGGGGGCUAGCGUUGCUCGGAAUUACUGGGCGUAAAGGGAGCGUAGGCGGACAUUUAAGUCAGAGGUGAAAUCCCGGAGCUUAACUUCGGAACUGCCUUUGAUACUGGGUGUCUUGAGUGUGAGAGAGGUAUGUGGAACUCCGAGUGUAGAGGUGAAAUUCGUAGAUAUUCGGAAGAACACCAGUGGCGAAGGCGACAUACUGGCUCAUUACUGACGCUGAGGCUCGAAAGCGUGGGGAGCAAACAGGAUUAGAUACCCUGGUAGUCCACGCCGUAAACGAUGAUUGCUAGUUGUCGGGAAGCUUGCUUCUCGGUGACGCAGCUAACGCAUUAAGCAAUCCGCCUGGGGAGUACGGUCGCAAGNUUAAAACUCAAAGGAAUUGACGG
This 560-nucleotide ribosomal RNA is filed under the name uncultured bacterium. RNAcentral describes it as "bacterial SSU rRNA". It matches the Rfam family "Bacterial small subunit ribosomal RNA", at positions 338 to 916 of the family's 1533-position model. The record is from RNAcentral.